Molecule: non-coding RNA, 65 nt
Organism: Dipodomys ordii (Ord's kangaroo rat)
Lineage: Eukaryota; Metazoa; Chordata; Mammalia; Rodentia; Heteromyidae
Source: Rfam
GGUGGCUCAGUGGUAGAGUGUUUGCCUUGCAUGCAUGAGGACCUGGGUUCGAUUCCUCAGCACCA